RNAcentral lists this ribosomal RNA (790 nucleotides) under uncultured bacterium. RNAcentral describes it as "bacterial SSU rRNA". It matches the Rfam family "Bacterial small subunit ribosomal RNA", at positions 8 to 796 of the family's 1533-position model. The record is from RNAcentral.
AGAGUUUGAUCCUGGCUCAGGAUGAACGCUAGCGGCAGGCCUAAUACAUGCAAGUCGAACGAUAGUUGGUGCUUGCACCAACGAAAAGUGGCGCACGGGUGCGUAACGCGUAUGCAACCUACCUUAUUCAGGGGGAUAGCCCGAAGAAAUUCGGAUUAACACCGCAUAAAAUCACAGUCCAGCAUUGGAUAAUGAUCAAAUAUUUAUAGGAGUAAGAUGGGCAUGCGUGUCAUUAGCUAGUUGGCGGGGUAACGGCCCACCAAGGCGACGAUGACUAGGGGAUCUGAGAGGAUGACCCCCCACACUGGUACUGAGACACGGACCAGACUCCUACGGGAGGCAGCAGUAAGGAAUAUUGGUCAAUGGAGGCAACUCUGAACCAGCCAUGCCGCGUGCAGGAAGACAGCCCUCUGGGUCGUAAACUGCUUUUAUUCGGGAAUAAACCUUUCUACGUGUAGAGAGCUGAAUGUACCGAAGGAAUAAGGAUCGGCUAACUCCGUGCCAGCAGCCGCGGUAAUACGGAGGAUCCAAGCGUUAUCCGGAUUUAUUGGGUUUAAAGGGUGCGUAGGCGGCUUAUUAAGUCAGGGGUGAAAGACGGUGGCUCAACCAUCGCAGUGCCUUUGAUACUGAUGAGCUUGAAUGAACUAGAGGUAGGCGGAAUGUGACAAGUAGCGGUGAAAUGCAUAGAUAUGUCACAGAACACCGAUUGCGAAGGCAGCUUACUAUGGUUUUAUUGACGCUGAGGCACGAAAGCGUGGGGAUCAAACAGGAUUAGAUACCCNNGUAGUCC